AUUUUCCUUGAGUAAUAAUUAAGAUCGUCUAUAAUUAUGAAAUUUAUCAAUCUAUUAUUCUAUGUUAUGCUCAUAAUCAAAACACAAUGGGCGUUGAAAGCCAAAAAGUAUGCCAACUUUCUCAAAAGAUUGUGUGACCCAUGUAAAUAUAAAGAGAGAGAGAGUGUAGACCCAUGUGUUGAUCUAAAGUAGUUAAGAUCAAAUUACAAGAGAGAAAGAAAAAUAUUUUCUCUAUAAAAUAUGACACGUCUCACAUGGUAGAUUAUCUAACACAAUAGAUUACUAGCAAGGG
RNAcentral lists this long non-coding RNA (292 nucleotides) under Spirodela polyrhiza (greater duckweed). RNAcentral describes it as "long non-coding RNA (SPOL_LNC001933)". Lineage: Eukaryota; Viridiplantae; Streptophyta; Magnoliopsida; Alismatales; Araceae. The record is from RNAcentral.